RNAcentral lists this ribosomal RNA (567 nucleotides) under uncultured bacterium. RNAcentral's name for it is "bacterial SSU rRNA". It matches the Rfam family "Bacterial small subunit ribosomal RNA", at positions 83 to 664 of the family's 1533-position model. The record is from RNAcentral.
GAAAAUGACUGAGCGGCGAACGGGUGAGUAACGCGUGAGCAAUCUACCUUAGUUACAGGGAUAGCCCGAGGAAACUCGGAUUAAUACCUGAUAUUCUUUAUUUCUCGCAUGAGAAUAAAAGGAAAGGUCNGCCGAACUAAGAUGAGCUCGCGUUCUAUCAGCUAGUUGGUGAGGUAAAAGCUUACCAAGGCUACGACGGAUAGCUGGUCUGAGAGGACGAUCAGCCACACUGGGACUGAGACACGGCCCAGACUCCUACGGGAGGCUGCAGCAGGGAAUAUUGUGCAAUGAACGAAAGUUUGACACAGCGACACCGCGUGUGGGAUGACGGAUCUAGGUUUGUAAACCACUUUCAGGAGGGAAGAAAAUGACGGUACCUCCACAAGAAGCCCCGGCCAACUACGUGCCAGCAGCCGCGGUAAUACGUAGGGGGCGAGCGUUGUCCGGAUUUAUUGGGCGUANAGAGCUCGUANGCGGUUCAACAAGUCGGUCGUGAAAGUUCAGGGCCUCAACCCUGAAAUGUCGAUCGAUACUGUUGGUGACCUAGGAUACCGGUAAAAGGUGAGU